AUGAGAGUGCAAAAAUGUGCAGGAGACGUGGAGAGAGGGCUGUCAGGAGGGCCGGAUGGGAAGGCUCCUGGGAGGAGGGAAACGAAUCAGAGCGCGGAGAAACGCGAGCGUCUGGGGCAGAAGGAUGAAGAAAUCGAGGCUCGAGGAGGUGACGACAUAAAUUGCUUGCAUCGUGGAGGGCUGGAAGGUGCAUCUGAGCACCUGCUACAGAAGCAGAACCGAGCGAUUGUCUCAGCAAACCCAUCGCAGGCAUUGGGGCUUCUCCAGCAACUUCCUGGAAGCAGGUACAGUAGGAAGAGCCCUCGUGUGAUUGCAGGCAAAUCGCGUAACCGCGGGAGGCACGGUUCCUUCACCUGCCAAAAGACGGGAAGUUGGCCUCGCUCUCUUUGAGCCUGGAUGAUCCUGUUCAAGACCAGAGGGCAGGCAGAGAGAAGGGGGCAGGAGGCUCUGCCUGAAUCAAAGCGCUGCCUUCCAGGGCCUGUGCUGCGGGCUUGGGACUUUCUGAUCCCGCCUCUGGGAAGAGCCCGUGGAUUCAGAGGUGGGAAAUGAUCGGUAAUUGAUUGUUGUUCGUUCAGAGCCUACUAAGGAUCUAAGCAUGAACUGGUGCUGUCACUGGAGGCAAUGAAUCAAAAAGAAGGGAGGGAUUUUUAAAAAGUUUUUUAUUUCUUUUCAUUUUGUUUGAAAAGCAGAGUUGGGGGGAGAGAGAGAUCCAUCUUAUUAUUUUUUUUUUGAAAAGUUAUUUUAUUUAUUUGAAAGGCAGAGUUACUGAGAAACAGAGGCAGAGAAAGGGAGAGAGGUCUUCCAUCCACUGGUUCACUCCCCAGAUGGCCACAGCUGGCUGGAGCUGCACUGAUUCAAAGCCAGGAGCCAGAAGUUUCUUCCAGGUCUUCUACAUAGGUGCAGGAGCCCAGGCCAUCUUCUACUGCUUUCCCAGGCCAUAGCAGAGGGCUGGAUCGAAAGUGGAGCAGCCAGGAAUAGAACUGGGGCCCAUAUGGGAUGCCAGCACUGUAGGCAGUGGCUUUACCUGCUACGCCACAGCGCCAGCCCUGAGAUCCAUCUUCUAUACAUUGGUUCACUUCCCAAAUGCCAGGGGGUUGGGUCAGCCUGUAUGUAGCCGGGAGUCCAAAACUCAAUCUUGGUCUUCCAAGUACCUGAGCUGGCAUCUGCUGCCUCCAGGAUUGCUUUAGCAGGAACCUGGAUGGGAAGUGGAGCCAGGACUCCAACUCAGCACUCUAACAUGGGAUGCAGGCAUCCCAAGCAGAAGUUAACCACCGUGCCAAACACUUGGCCCCGGAAGUUUCUUUAGAAAGAUGAUUCAUUUCUUACUCUCCUACUCAAAUUGCCCAAUAACGUAUUGCAAUGGAUGCUAAUAAAUGAAGGUGAGUUAAUUGUGUCA
Molecule: long non-coding RNA, 1396 nt
Filed under: Oryctolagus cuniculus (rabbit)
Lineage: Eukaryota; Metazoa; Chordata; Mammalia; Lagomorpha; Leporidae
Description: lncRNA (ENSOCUG00000037802.1)
Source: RNAcentral